RNAcentral lists this ribosomal RNA (229 nucleotides) under uncultured bacterium. RNAcentral describes it as "partial 16S ribosomal RNA". It matches the Rfam family "Bacterial small subunit ribosomal RNA", at positions 568 to 796 of the family's 1533-position model. The record is from RNAcentral.
UGCGCAGGCGGUUCGUUGUGUCUGAUGUGAAAGCCCCGGGCUCAACCUGGGAAUGGCAUUGGAAACUGGCGAGCUGGAGUGCGGCAGAGGGGGGUGGAAUUCCGCGUGUAGCAGUGAAAUGCGUAGAGAUGCGGAGGAACACCGAUGGCGAAGGCAGCCCCCUGGGCCGACACUGACGCUCAGGCACGAAAGCGUGGGGAGCAAACAGGAUUAGAUACCCUGGUAGUCC